RNAcentral lists this ribosomal RNA (264 nucleotides) under uncultured bacterium. Its description in RNAcentral is "partial 16S ribosomal RNA". It matches the Rfam family "Bacterial small subunit ribosomal RNA", at positions 793 to 1055 of the family's 1533-position model. The record is from RNAcentral.
GUCCACGCCCUAAACGAUGCAUGCUUGGUGCGGGUGAUUCAGUUCAUCUGUGCCGGAGCUAACGCGUUAAGCAUGCCGCCUGGGUAGUACAGUCGCAAGGCUGAAACUCAAAGGAAUUGACGGGGGCCCGCACAAGCGGUGGAGCAUGUGGUUCAAUUCGACGCAACGCGAAGAACCUUACCUGGGCUCGAACGGCUGGUUAACGGCGGUGGAAACAUCGCUACUCCGCAAGGAGGUCCAGUCGAGGUGCUGCAUGGCUGUCGU